Molecule: unclassified non-coding RNA, 198 nt
Filed under: uncultured Sebacinaceae
Lineage: Eukaryota; Fungi; Basidiomycota; Agaricomycetes; Sebacinales; Sebacinaceae
Description: sequence contains ITS2
Source: RNAcentral
UAAUCUCACUCCAACACCUUUAUUGAUGUUGGAUGUGGACUUGGAUGUUGUCGUGUUCAACGACUCGUCUUAAAUGCCUGAGUGUACCCUGCUUUGCAGCGUAUCAGUGUGAUAAACAUAUUCACUGUUAAGUCUUUCGGGACACGCUUGUGGUGUAGGUUCUAUGCUUUCCAACCGUCCUCUGGACAAUCUCUGACA